UAGGGAAUCUUCGGCAAUGGACGGAAGUCUGACCGAGCAACGCCGCGUGAGUGAAGAAGGUUUUCGGAUCGUAAAGCUCUGUUGUAAGAGAAGAACGAGUGUGAGAGUGGAAAGUUCACACUGUGACGGUAUCUUACCAGAAAGGGACGGCUAACUACGUGCCAGCAGCCGCGGUAAUACGUAGAUCCCGAGCGUUGUCCGGAUUUAUUGGGCGUAAAGCGAGCGCAGGCGGUUAGAUAAGUCUGAAGUUAAAGGCUGUGGCUUAACCAUAGUAGGCUUUGGAAACUGUUUAACUUGAGUGCAAGAGGGGAGAGUGGAAUUCCAUGUGUAGCGGUGAAAUGCGUAGAUAUAUGGAGGAACACCGGUGGCGAAAGCGGCUCUCUGGCUUGUAACUGACGCUGAGGCUCGAAAGCGUGGGGAGCAAACAGGAUUAGAUACCCUGGUAGUCCACGCUGUAAACGAUGAGUGCUAGGUGUUAGACCCUUUCCGGGGUUUAGUGCCGUAGCUAACGCAUUAAGCACUCCGCCUGGGGAGUACGACCGCAAGGUU
Molecule: ribosomal RNA, 549 nt
Filed under: uncultured bacterium
Lineage: Bacteria
Description: bacterial SSU rRNA
Rfam family: Bacterial small subunit ribosomal RNA
Source: RNAcentral